Molecule: long non-coding RNA, 636 nt
Organism: Camponotus floridanus (Florida carpenter ant)
Lineage: Eukaryota; Metazoa; Arthropoda; Insecta; Hymenoptera; Formicidae
Exons: 3
Source: RefSeq, a predicted model, not a curated record
CAGAUCCAGUAUCUCGUGAGCGGUCGUUCGUAACACAUAUACCUAUAAAUUGUGCGAAAAUGAAGAAUACAAAUUUAAUAAUUUAUUCCAGGUACAUCGCUUAACGUGGAAGGAUUCUGUAUCCGGAUAGAUCCUUAAAAUUUAUCCUGAAGGAGGAACCAAAUAUUCAAAUCUAUGAAUUUAGUCGCAAAUAAUUUAUAUAGCGCGUGCAUUUGAUGCGCAUCGUAAUUUCAUUUUUUUUAAACUUCAGGUUUAACCCUCGCUCAAAUAAAUUAUCUCGUCCUGCGAUUACUCGAAGUGUGAUCCUCGGACAUCGUUUUGCAAUUACGAAAUUCAGAAAUGUCACGCGUUUUUAAAAGUAUCGCACGUGUGAAUCAACGGAUCCUGAUGACUUUGAUCAUUUUGAGGAGGACAAGACCUAAGGGAGGCACAUCGGACAUCGAUGGAACAAUUAAAACCCUGGGGGCGACGUAGAACCAUCGUAAGCGGCCACCGGCGACGAAAUAGGCAACGGAGACCACCAGAAGUAGCUGCACGAGAUAGAUCGGACCCAUGUAAAUCGUAACCAGAGCCAAGGUGGCAGCUGUAAGCGCCAGCAAGAACAUGACGAAAGUCAAGCGUCGUAGAAAACGGCCG